GGGGAUGUAGCUCAAUUGGUAGAGUGCUAAUCAAUGCGGAACAGAGGCACAGGGUUUGAUUCCUGGCAUCUCCA
RNAcentral lists this transfer RNA (74 nucleotides) under Triticum aestivum (bread wheat). It matches the Rfam family "tRNA". Rfam says of the family: Transfer RNA (tRNA) molecules are approximately 80 nucleotides in length. Their secondary structure includes four short double-helical elements and three loops (D, anti-codon, and T loops). Lineage: Eukaryota; Viridiplantae; Streptophyta; Magnoliopsida; Poales; Poaceae. The record is from Rfam by way of RNAcentral.